Molecule: ribosomal RNA, 253 nt
Filed under: uncultured bacterium
Lineage: Bacteria
Description: partial 16S ribosomal RNA
Rfam family: Bacterial small subunit ribosomal RNA
Source: RNAcentral
UACGUAGGGUGCGAGCGUUGUCCGGAAUUACUGGGCGUAAAGAGCUCGUAGGUGGUUUGUCGCGUUGUUCGUGAAAACUCACAGCUUAACUGUGGGCGUGCGGGCGAUACGGGCAGACUGGAGUACUGCAGGGGAGACUGGAAUUCCUGGUGUAGCGGUGGAAUGCGCAGAUAUCGUAAGGAAGACCAGUGGCGAAGGCGGGUCUCUGGACAGUUCCUGACGCUGAGGCACGAAAGCGUGGGGAGCAAACAGG